This is a long non-coding RNA of Neofelis nebulosa (Clouded leopard), 1109 nucleotides long. RefSeq lists it as uncharacterized. The record is from RefSeq and is a predicted model, not a curated record. NCBI's taxonomy places the organism in Eukaryota, Metazoa, Chordata, Mammalia, Carnivora, Felidae. The transcript is spliced from 5 exons.
CGCGGGGGUAGUGGUCCGGGGGCGCGGCUCUGGCCGGGGGUUAAACCUCCUUCCAGCCUCUGCCCCGAGAGGGUUUAACACCUGGAGUUCCCGCCUGCGAUUUCUCUCUUGCGGCCCCUUGGGAAAGGGAAUGGCAGAUUGACUCUGAACUUGGCAAAGGACUUAUAACGCUUUAGUAUUUAAAUGAAGGAGUGGGUCUGAAGAAGACCGAGGAUCUGUAAAACAAUCUUAUUUAAGCCUUCAGCUACCAGAGGCUGUGACAUAAACCCCAGGAAUUGAUUGAGAAGUAAUAGGUAGUUUUGAGGGCUUUUAUUUAAAGAACAAAGAUAGGAAGCUUUGCCUCGCUGUGUUUAUAAAAGCGAGGGAAGCCCCCACCCGUAAUAUUUAGAAACACCUGGAGCCGACAAUGCUCUGGCAGCGUCCUGAAAUAAACUAAAGAAGCUGUUCACUCUGCUAUAAUCUGACAAUCUUUGAAAAAUGUUUUUCAGAGGUGGAGGCGUCUUAAAAUUUAGACAUCAAGUGAGGACACAGAAAGAAAACACAGGCCUGUAACCCAGGAAGUGGAUUUCACCGGAAACUGAAUCUGCUGACACCUUGAACUUGGACUUCUCAGAUUCCAGAACGAAGGAGAGCCCAGGAAGCUAUAUUUAAAAACAAACAAACAAAAAAAAUGAGAUGAGCGUCGCAUGCACUUGACUUGCAGAACUACUGACUUAAAAAUAAUACCAGAGGAAUGGCCUGCUUGGAAAAUCCCCCAGUGAUGCUUUCACACAUUCAUCGAACCUUUCAUACUUACUACGCUCUUUAUCUGGAAUAUGUUCCAAACCAUUACCUCAUCCAAGACUCUCCCAGAUGAAGGAAUGGGCCUCAGAUGUCACAGAUAAGAGGUGGUAGGUCCCAGACACAAAGCUGGACAACUGGUUCCAGAGUCCAUACUCUUCACUCUGCAUUGCUGCCUAUUCCAGAACUCAGCAGUUAGUAGCUUCAAGAACAAGUAGACUAUUCACUAUCAUCCAGGUAUAAUAAUUUGUCGAUUGGAACUGUUUGGCCUCAAGAGGGCAAGCUUUGCAAAUUCAAUCCGGCUGAAUUGACAGAAAAAGUCCUGGAAU